UUUUUAUAUAUUUUAUUUUUAUAUUACUUUCUAUUUUAAAAACUCGAACUUCAAAACUUUGCCAAAAAAUUAAAAACUUAUCAAAAUUCUUAACAAAAAAAUGUCAAAACUUUAUUCAUUAAAUAUAGUUAAGAACCUUGACUAAUAUCUCAUCAUUGAGGAUGGUCUAAAUGAACUAAGUUGAUUUUUUUUAUAAACCACAAACAUACAUAUUUACAUUUUUAAUAUAUAAAAUUUUUUAAAUUAAAAAAUUAGGAUUAAAUUAAAUCACUAUAGUGUAAUUGAGUUACUUUCUCAUCAUGUAUACUUUAGAUUAUCUUUAAAAGUUAGUUUUUGAAAUAUUUAAUUUCAUCCUUCCCCACAAUCACAAAGGUUUCGAAUGGAGAAAGCGAGUCAAACAUAUCAAGCGGAACAAGAGCGGAUCAAGCGGUUUUAUCGAAACAAGUGCGGAUCAAGCAGUUCUGGCGGUUCAAAUAAAUGUUUGAAUGGUGAAAGCGAAUCAAAUAUUACAGAUCAUAUUAUACAAUCUUUGAUUAUGAUUUUAUUUUCAAAUAUAUUUAUUGUGAUAACUAUUAAAAUGUUUUAUUUUUUUUUAAUUCAAAUACAACAUCAAAAAAAUAAUUUCUAGUAUUUAAUUUUUUCCAUAAUAUAUUUGCAAUAUGUUCUCUCAUAUUGGUCAUAAGACCGCCAUCAACUAUCUUUGUAGCUUCGAUAUUCCCUAAACUAGUUCAAAAUUCGGGUCCUCCAUCUUUAUCUCCCCCAUUACCUCUGCAAAAUCUUCAUCUGAAAAUUUUAAAAUCUGAGAAAAUUAGGUAGUCCUAUUGUAGUCAUUACUAUUUUUUUUUGCACAUGAGUAUUAUAUAUAAGAAAUUCAUAAAGAAUCCUUCUUUUUUUUUCGAAACUCCAAAUAUCCUCCUAAUAAGAGAACGUAAAGAUGCAUGACAUCGAUUAAACAGUUCCUGUUUAUUCCUAGGAGGAGAACCAUUUUCUAAAUUGUGACAUAUGAUACCGAACAACCUUAUUUCGUGAAGAUCUAUAUGGAGCAAGAUUUUUUUUUUGUUCGGAUAGCCUGAAUCAACUACAUAAUAUUUUUCUAUUAGAGGCAAAAGAAAUUCAGAAUCACUAUCUUGUGCGACUAUGAGAACUGAUGUAUCCUGACAAGAUCAUGGUGCUGCAUUCCAAACAAAUGUGAACAACAUAUUUAAAUCACAUAUUGCCAUGACGUUGAAUGAUAAUCUACUAUGUCGAUCCCAAUACAUUCCUUUUAAUUUGGGUUGAAUCUUAACGCAAACAUGAACUCCAUCCAUUGCUUCAACAAAUCCACUAAAAUAUGGCCAAUAUCUCUGAUCUACUUGCAAUCGUUCAGGAAUUCGGAGUAGUUCUUGUCUUGUUGGAGUCUUGAUAUAAUCACAAGCAAGUAACUCAUUCGCUAUAAGGACCUCAAAAUAUUUCUUCUUCAUUGUCUCUUGGUUUCGUCCAAAUCGCAUUCCAACAUGUCUUUGAACUUCAUUGUGACCACAUAUCCGUAAAAAUAACCAAAACAGUGGUUAGGGUUUAGAAUUUUUUCAUGAAAAGAAAAAAGACAAAGAAGGGGCAUCGAACUCGUCACCAUGAUUAUGCAUGGGGCACUUCCUUGCCAGUUGAGCUAGAUGACUAUUCAAUAUCUUUUAAAUUAAUUUUAAUAAUCAGUGUAGGGCACAUGCCCUACUUGCUAUGAGUAUAGAGCCGCCACUGAUAAUGUUCUGAAGGAACUAAGACACAUUCAUAAUAAUUAUAGACAAGCAGCAUCAUCUUCUUGCAGACGACGCUAAAUGUUGUGUCAUCCCCAAACCACCAUCUGUUUGGGCUGGUGCUCUUUGAAAAUAUUAAUUGUAUUAAUUAAAUGUUGGUUGAAUUAUUAAUUCUUCAAAAUUCUCAUUUUUCAAAUUCUACAGCUUUAUUCUUUCCUUGUCGCUAAGAAAUUGGACUCCUCGUACUUGCAAUUGGCAUAUACGAAACCUAUAAUUUGUAAGCAAAAAU
This 2019-nucleotide small RNA is filed under the name Arabidopsis thaliana (thale cress). RNAcentral's name for it is "ATSL043310". The record is from RNAcentral. Lineage: Eukaryota; Viridiplantae; Streptophyta; Magnoliopsida; Brassicales; Brassicaceae.